CGCGCCCCUGUUGAGCCAUCGAAAUCCAGGCCGUGAGGAAUGGCGGCGGCGCUGCUGUGCACAUAGCUGGUCGUCGCCUACAUCUUUGCGGUCUGCGGAGCUGACGAGGAGAAACAGCAGAGGCACUACAACAGAUAGAUCUUCUGGUUCCUCCCUCGAGCUCAACAGCCCGCGGCCCACGCUGUAAUUCCCCUUCACCCUCACCAUGGUUGCUCCUCCACCUCACGACCCUCCUUAGCUCCUCGCACACGUCGCCUUCACCUGCUGGGCUGCUGCCGAUUCUCCAUCUCGCUCCCACGCUACGGUGGCGCCAUGCCAGCUCCCUCCGGCCCUCCCGACCAAGCAUCGACCUAAAUAGAUUUUGAUGAGAAAGAACAAACCUUGAUCUGUUCUGGGAACGUACAAAGAAAGAGCCUUCAGAAGACGUGACCCAAGCCUUGAUCUGAUAUGGGAGCAUAAAAAGGGAGGAGCCUUCAGAAGAUGCCAGACACAAUAAGCAUCUCCAGGUUACAUUUCCAGAUGAAUUAUGCAUCUAGAAAAAAUUACCAUUAUGGGCAAUGUGAUUUGCUUGGAUUGGCUGGAGUUCAUUUUCGCUUAAGAUUAUCGAGGCUUAUGAACUCUCAGUUUUGCAGCAAUUCAAAACAGAUACCUUAAGUUUGGCAAAUACCCUUCUUUGGAAAACACAAGAGAACACUGCAUUGAUAAUUAAGGGAACAGAAAUUCUGAGCUGCUCGAUGACAUUAGUGACGGGCUCAUUUGGCAUGAGUGCAAUUUAGAUUCCUGUCCCUAUAUAUGUAAUGAGCAGUUUCUUAUUCAAAAUAUUUCAAACAGUUGUUAAUCGAGAAAUUUAUAUCCAUGCUGCUAUUCAAA
This is a long non-coding RNA of Panicum hallii, 870 nucleotides long. RefSeq lists it as uncharacterized. The record is from RefSeq and is a predicted model, not a curated record. The transcript has 4 exons. Lineage: Eukaryota; Viridiplantae; Streptophyta; Magnoliopsida; Poales; Poaceae.